RNAcentral lists this long non-coding RNA (980 nucleotides) under Elaeis guineensis (African oil palm). Its description in RNAcentral is "long non-coding RNA (EGUI_LNC012841)". The record is from RNAcentral. Lineage: Eukaryota; Viridiplantae; Streptophyta; Magnoliopsida; Arecales; Arecaceae.
GUGGGGUGUUGACAUGCCUCAUAGACAUCAUGAUCGUAAUAGUCUCUGGAGAAGCUUCAUAAUAACUCUUCAAGAGGAGAAUAUUGUGAUAGUCCUCACUAAUGAUCAUUCCAUAGUCCACAAAAUAGCAACUUUGGGAGGAGUAAUCUAUCUGAGAUGGGCCGGUUAUUUGAAGAUGCCGAUAGUAAAUCUAACCAGAAAGAUGGUUGAGACUGCAAAAGAUAGUAAUCACUUGAAUACGGUUAGGCCAGGCUAUUGGUGUGGAAUAGGAUCCAAUAUAUGAUUAGGAACCGGAUAUUUUCAGAGACUCUACUCCAUCUACAAUGUCAUGGUCUGCUAGAGCCGCAUCAGGAUCCAAACAACCAUGAAGAGCCCAUCUCCUAUAUGCAACGGUAUUCUUGCAAGCUCUACCAAGCUAGGCAAUUUGGUCCCUAUCCUAUGUAGUAAGAGUAUACUACGACUCACUAGCGAAUCAAAGACCCUCCUAGGGCUACACAUCAUAAAUCAUGAUGCCCUGUGCCCUGCUACCUCCCUAGCCCCCAGAUGCAUCAUCACUCGAACUAUCAUCACUGAUAUCAUUGAUGAUCUGGGCAACAUGUCAUCAGAUGACCCAUCGAUCUCCAAAUCAAAUUAAAUGAAUUCCUCCUCAAGUCUCUUCAAAGAAAAUGCAACUACAUUUCCUUUGUCUUUCUUGUUGGCUUGAAUUGCUGCCUUUUUGCCUUGACUCUGCAGGAAGGAUCAACUAUGCCCUCCACCUGAGUAAACCAAGUACCAUGAUGGCCUCUCCUCAACAUCUCUCAAUUCUCCUACCCAAUGUCUAUGGUUGAAUGACUAGAUAUGAGCAUGGAAUCAUUCUAGCCAUUGCUCCGCAUCCAUUCUAGCCUCUUUGGUUACAAAACUAGCUAGUCAAAGAGGUGAUCCUUUCUCAUCCAACUCUAGCUCCUACUGCUCACCCUAAAGCCAAUCAAUCAUUGAAACCC